AUGUUCGAGUAUCUAAAUGUUGUCAGCAAGAUGUUUGAUAGUGAGGCUGAAGGCUAUGAAUUCUACAACAAAUAUGCUCUUGAAAAAGGUUUUAGUGUGAGGAAAAGCUACGUUGAGUGGGAUGGAUCCAACAAAUACAUAAUUUUAAGGAAAAUUGUGUGUAGUCGUCAAGGGUUUCGCGAAGAGAAGCACAUGAAAAGAAAGAUGGAAGAUAGAAAGAGGAGGCCACGAAUUUUAACUCGUGUUGGGUGUAAUGCUAAAUUGGUCAUUGCAAGACAGGAGGAAACCGGUCGGUGGUUUGUCAAGGAUUUCAUCGAUGAGCACUCUAGCCCCACGGGAUCUUUCUUGUCUGCUGCGUUCGCACAGACGAAUUAG
RNAcentral lists this ribosomal RNA (375 nucleotides) under Triticum aestivum (bread wheat). RNAcentral's name for it is "partial small subunit ribosomal RNA". Lineage: Eukaryota; Viridiplantae; Streptophyta; Magnoliopsida; Poales; Poaceae. The record is from RNAcentral.